RNAcentral lists this ribosomal RNA (468 nucleotides) under uncultured bacterium. RNAcentral's name for it is "partial 16S ribosomal RNA". It matches the Rfam family "Bacterial small subunit ribosomal RNA", at positions 28 to 507 of the family's 1533-position model. The record is from RNAcentral.
GACGAACGCUGGCGGCGUGCUUAACACAUGCAAGUCGAACGGAAAGGCCCUGCAUUUGUGGGGUGCUCGAGUGGCGAACGGGUGAGUAACACGUGAGUAACCUGCCCUUGACUUUGGGAUAACUUCAGGAAACUGGGGCUAAUACCGGAUAGGAGCUCCUGAUGCAUGGGGGGGGUUGGAAAGUUUCGGCGGUUGGGGAUGGACUCGCGGCUUAUCAGCUUGUUGGUGGGGUAGUGGCUUACCAAGGCUUUGACGGGUAGCCGGCCUGGGAGGGUGACCGGCCACAUUGGGAUUGAGAUACGGCCCAGACUCCUACGGGAGGCAGCAGUGGGGAAUAUUGCACAAUGGGCGGAAGCCUGAUGCAGCAACGCCGCGUGCGGGAUGACGGCCUUCGGGUUGUAAACCGCGUUCGCCUGUGACGAAGCGUGAGUGACGGUAAUGGGUAAAGAAGCACCGGCUAACUACGUG